Molecule: small RNA, 378 nt
Filed under: Rattus norvegicus (Norway rat)
Lineage: Eukaryota; Metazoa; Chordata; Mammalia; Rodentia; Muridae
Description: uncharacterized LOC102549793
Source: RNAcentral
UUCUCAUCUAGCAUCUGUUGUGGUAAGUCUAUCUUUUCAGCUCUGUUCUGCCAGUCCCUGCUUUUCAGUGCUUCUGUAAGUUCCUUUAAUCCUAGGUUUGUUCCACCUCUGAAGUCCUCUGGUGUAUAACGUCCCAUGUCUCAGGAGAAUGCUCCCAAAUGCCUGUGCCCUGUGCUUGGUGGCCUCUUACUGAUUGCUGGAGCAAGACCUUCCCCAUAGAUCCUGGGUGACUGAGACAUGAUUUCCACUGUGGUUCCAGUCUAUGAAACAGGAAACAAGCUGUAUCAAGGAGUCAGCAUCUCCAAAAAGGAAAGGAGAGGAAGUAAGAUUGGGUAAAAAGAAAAGUCCAAUAAUCAACAGACAUGGAGGAGAGUUGGG